RNAcentral lists this long non-coding RNA (2441 nucleotides) under Equus caballus (horse). Its description in RNAcentral is "lncRNA (ENSECAG00000058697.1)". Lineage: Eukaryota; Metazoa; Chordata; Mammalia; Perissodactyla; Equidae. The record is from RNAcentral.
UGAAGACACAGACACAGAAGAAAGAUGGCCAUGUGAAUUUAGAGGUAGAGACUGGAGUUAUGCUGCCACAAGCCAAAGACACCUGGGGCUACCAGAAGCUGGAAGAGGCAAGGAAGGGUCAUUCUCUAGAGACUUUGGAAGAAGUUGACCCUGCCAGCAUCUUGAUUUUGGACUGCUAGCCUCCAGAACUGUGAGAGAAUAAAUUUCUAUUGUUUAAGCCACUAGUCUGUGGCAGCCAUAGUAAACGAAUAAAAUAGGUUUCAAGAAUUAGGAUGUGGGCAUUGUUAGGAGCUAUUAUUCUACCAACCACACCACAGACUCAAGAAGUUCAAGAAACCCCAAGCCCAAGAAACUUGAAGAAAAGUACACCAAGGCACAUCAUAAUUAAGUUGUUGAAAAUCACCGAUAAAAACAAAAGGUCUAGAAGCAGUCAGAGCAAAGAGACACCUUACAUACAGAGGAACAAAGGAGUACAUUCUAGAAGCAGAUUCUAAUCAGAAACAAUGCCAGUGAGAAGUGAUUAGAACAAUAUCUUAAAAGUCCUGAAAGAUAAAAACUAUCAACCUUGAAUUCUAUACCCAGCAAAAAUAUCCUUUGAAAGUGAAUGCAGAUAGACAUUUUCAGACGUACAAAAGCUGAAAACAUUCAUCACCAGCAGACCACAGCUAGAAGAAAUGUUUAAGUCUUUCAGGUGGAAAGAAAAUGAUCCUAGAUGGAAAUCUGGAUCUACAUUAAGGAUGGAAGAACACCAGAAAUGGUAACUACACAGGAUGCUGUCCUCAUCUCCCUGCUGAAGCUGACUCACCACCACUAUGUGUUUUUUUCACAAAGGAAAACGAGCAAGUAGAAGAGAAGCAGCUUUUUUUAAAAAAAUAUUAUUUUAUUGAAGUCAUAUUGGCGUACAACAUUGUGUAAAUUUCAGGUGGACACUAGCAUAUUUCAGUUUCUGUAUAGAGUGUUUCAUGUUCACCACCAAUAGUCUAGUUUUUAUCUGUCACCAUACAUAUGUGCCCCUUUACCCCCUUUGCCCACCUGUCACACCCUUUCCCCUCUGAUAACCACCAACAUGCUUUCCCUUUCUAUGUGUUUGUUUAUCUUCUACAUAUGAGUGACAUCAUAUGGCAUUUGUCUUUCUCUGGUUGACUCACUUUGCUGAGCAUAAUACCAUCAAAGUCAAUCCAUGUUGUUGCAAGUGGCACGAUUUUGUCUUUUUUUAUGGCUGAGUAGUAUUCUGUUGUAUAUAUAUACAUCACAUCUUCUUUAUCCAUUCAUCCACUGAUGGGCACUUGGGUUUCUUCUAUGUCUUGGCCAUUGUGAAUAAUGCUGCGAUGAACAUAGGGGGAGAAGCAGCUUUUUUAAGUGACACAAGCUGUAUAUUAUCUCUUCAGCUCAUGUCCAGCUGGCCAGAGCUUAGCUGCAAAGGAAGCUGGAAACAUCUCUAGCUGUAUGGCCUUGGUCCAUGCCCAAACUCCUGGGGGUCAGCUAAGGAAAGACAAAGAUUAGAAUGGAUAUCAGAAGACAAUUAGCUUCAGUAAAAGUGCUGUGGUUUCUCUCACGAGAAGGAAUGAAAUUUGGACUUUAAGGGCUCAUAAAACUUUGGGAGGCAUUUGUUUACUUAACAACCACCAUAUACUGAGGCUGUGAUGUUUUCCUCAUGGUCAUACAGUCCAGUUGGAAAGAUAGGCGAUCAAAUAGAAAUUAAUAACAGCAUGGGAAGAUAUUGUGAAUGAGGAGAUUACAAAUACUGCGAGCUCACAGAGCAGAAGGACUUAACCUAGUCAAGGGACAGAAGGAUCAGUGAUGGUUUUCUGGGGGAUGGAUGCUGGGCUGAGACUUCUGUGCAAGGUCCUGUUUGGGUGGAAUCCACAUUCCAAGGGUGGGAAUCAGACACACGGUGUAACUUUAAUGAAUCUUCCAAAGACAGAAGUCAUUUACAAGGCUGCUGCAAGAAAUCUUAACUCAAGGCAGGAGCAAAGGGAAAGCUAUGUAGAAUUUAUCCAAAAAGGAAGAAGGAUUACUGAGCUGGGAGGAAAUUUUCUUGGCACCAGUCUUGUAGCAAAGUAUAGAAUCAUGAUGAGCCCCAGAUUCUGGGUCAUCUGCAGUGGUUUGAAACAUGGACCUGGUUAUUGUUUGGCUACAUGCACCAAUAAAUCGAUCAAGCCUUUCAACAAGAAUUAGAAUAUUCCUAUAAUUCCCCAUUAAUCACGUCUUUUGGAAAGGUAGGAAGUGGUAGGAAACACAUCUGUUUGGUUGUUUGGCACCAAAGUAUUUGCUCUCCUAGUGUUUAUCUGGUGUUUCCUUACUAAAAAAUGUUGUAAGUUUGAAUCAUGAUGAAAUCUAUUCUAUUUGGAGAGUUGCUUCUGAGAAUGGAUAGCAAAUUGUCCUAAAAAAAAAAGUCGGGGAAAAAUAUUGGAAGAUAAUGAUCGGGUAGGAAUGGGGGA